RNAcentral lists this ribosomal RNA (484 nucleotides) under uncultured bacterium. RNAcentral's name for it is "bacterial SSU rRNA". It matches the Rfam family "Bacterial small subunit ribosomal RNA", at positions 29 to 487 of the family's 1533-position model. The record is from RNAcentral.
AACGAACGCUGGCGGCGUGGAUAAGACAUGCAAGUUGAACGCUAAUUUCGGUGUAGCAAUACAUCGGAGUUGGAGUAGCGCAAGGGUGCGUAACACGUGGGUAAUUUGCCGUGAAGUUGGGGAUAACUCGCUGAAAGGCGAGCUAAUACCGAAUGUGAAGUUUGGGUGGCAUCACCUGACCUUUAAAGCUGGGGAUCGUAAGACCUGGCGCUUUAUGAUAAGCCCGCGGCCAUCAGCUAGUUGGUGAGGUAACGGCUCACCAAGGCUAAGACGGGUAGCUGGUCUGAGAGGACGACCAGCCACACUGGAACUGAGACACGGUCCAGACACCUACGGGUGGCAGCAGUCGAGAAUUUUUCUCAAUGGGCGCAAGCCUGAAGGAGCGACGCGCGUGUGGGAUGAAGGGUUUCGAUCCGUAAACCACUGUCAUUUGUGAACAAUGGUUAUCCGUGAAUAACGGAUGACUUGAUAGUAAUGAAAGAGG